This 117-nucleotide ribosomal RNA is filed under the name Sinocyclocheilus anshuiensis. Lineage: Eukaryota; Metazoa; Chordata; Actinopteri; Cypriniformes; Cyprinidae. The record is from RNAcentral.
UUACACAGCCAUAUCACCCUGCAGCCCAAGACUGGUUGCCCACUGAAGCUAAGCAGGGUUGAGCCUGGUCAGUACCUGGAUGGGAGACCUCCUGGGAAAACUAGGUUGCUGUUGGAA